This 465-nucleotide ribosomal RNA is filed under the name uncultured bacterium. Its description in RNAcentral is "bacterial SSU rRNA". It matches the Rfam family "Bacterial small subunit ribosomal RNA", at positions 32 to 476 of the family's 1533-position model. The record is from RNAcentral.
AACGCUGGCGGCGUGCCUAACACAUGCAAGUCGAACGCGAAAGUCCCGCAAGGGAUGAGUAGAGUGGCAAACGGGUGAGUAACACGUGGGUGACCUGCCUUCGAGCGGGGGAUAACGUCCCGAAAGGGACGCUAAUACCGCAUGACAUCCUGCCUUUGAAGAGGUGGAGAUCAAAGCUGGGGAUCGCAAGACCCAGCACUCGAAGAGGGGCCCGCGCCUGAUUAGCUAGUUGGUGGGGUAACGGCUCACCAAGGCGACGAUCAGUAGCCGGCCUGAGAGGGCGGACGGCCACACUGGGACUGAGACACGGCCCAGACUCCUACGGGAGGCAGCAGUGGGGAAUUGUUCGCAAUGGGCGCAAGCCUGACGACGCAACGCCGCGUGGAGGACGAAGACCUUCGGGUCGUAAACUCCUUUCGAUCGAGACGAAUGGCCUCCGGGUGAACAAUCCGGAGGAAUGUCGGU